UAGAACAUGUCGCGGCAUCCGUCUUUCACUUGGUGGUCUUCAACGCGUGCACAUGUCUUUUUUUAAUGUCUAUUUGUGGAAGCGCAGUGAGUUAUAUAAAUGGAAACAAAAAUCCGUGCAGCUGCAAUCAUAAUGAGGUCCCUUGAAAGUAUAUGGCUGUAUAGAAUGUCCAACUACGUACAUACAUACAUAUUUGUACAUAGUCUGAGAGAAAAUUGAGACUGGAAAUGAUAUCGGUUUCAUCAUGCUGACUUAAGUGAAAGGGUACCGUCUGACCGUACCAGGCAAAAUAAAUGCUGAUAAAAUAUCUGGAGGGCAUUACGCAAACAUGAAUAUUGAAGAUAACAUGGUUUGUUUUGCGAUCAAAAAGAAUGUAAACAUCCAGUGAUAUAUCUAAUGGCUUUGACACGUAUGGUUUUCCAAAAUUUAACCUGUUGCUGUUUUAUAGAAAGCAGAUAAAACACCUGGUGGGCAUUACGCACGAUAUGAAUAUUGGAGAUAAUUGUGUUUCUGAUGCGGUAAAAAGAAAUUCGAACAUCCAGUCCUACAUCCAAGGGUUUGGACCCGUAUGCGUUUCCAGCCGCAAGACCUAGAAAGCUGACGUAACCAAGGUGUCGGAUAAGAAAAUAUGUUUUAAUAAAAAU
Molecule: long non-coding RNA, 644 nt
Filed under: Rhagoletis pomonella (apple maggot)
Lineage: Eukaryota; Metazoa; Arthropoda; Insecta; Diptera; Tephritidae
Description: uncharacterized LOC118734037, transcript variant X2
Source: RNAcentral